This 551-nucleotide ribosomal RNA is filed under the name uncultured archaeon. Its description in RNAcentral is "bacterial SSU rRNA". It matches the Rfam family "Archaeal small subunit ribosomal RNA", at positions 326 to 879 of the family's 1478-position model. The record is from RNAcentral.
CGGGGUGCAGCAGGCGCGAAACCUCUGCAAUGCGCGAAAGCGCGACAGGGCAACCCCGAGUGCUAGGUGCUGAAUCUAGCUUUUCCUUAGUGUAGUGAGCUAGGGGAAUAAGCGGGGGGCAAGCCUGGUGUCAGCCGCCGCGGUAAUACCAGCUCCGCGAGUGGUCGGGACGAUUAUUGGGCCUAAAGCGUUCGUAGCCGGCCUUACAAGUCUCUGGUUAAAUUUCAAGGCUUAACCUUGAGCGUGCUGGAGAUACUGUUAGGCUAGGGGGCGGGAGAGGUUGAGGGUACUUCACGGGUAGGGGCGAAAUCCUAUAAUCCGUGAAGGACCACCAGUGGCGAAGGCGCUCAACUGGAACGCGCCCGACGGUGAGGGACGAAAGCCAGGGGAGCAAAGGGGAUUAGAUACCCCCGUAGUCCUGGCUGUAAACGAUGCGGGCUAGGUGUUGGGUUGGCUUCGUGCCAACCCGGUGCCGCAGGGAAGCCGUUAAGCCUGCCGCCUGGGGAGUACGGUCGCAAGGCUGAAACUUAAAGGAAUUGGCGGGGGAGCAC